RNAcentral lists this ribosomal RNA (692 nucleotides) under Backusella indica. RNAcentral's name for it is "eukaryotic LSU rRNA". It matches the Rfam family "Eukaryotic large subunit ribosomal RNA", at positions 50 to 648 of the family's 3401-position model. Lineage: Eukaryota; Fungi; Mucoromycota; Mucoromycetes; Mucorales; Backusellaceae. The record is from RNAcentral.
GCGGAGGAAAAGAAAAUAACAAUGAUUUCCCUAGUAACGGCGAGUGAAGAGGAAAGAGCUCAAAGUUGGAAUCCGGCUGCCCUAGGUAGUUGGAAUUGUAAACUGGAGAGGUGUUUUCCAGGCGAGCCAAGCAAAUAAGUCCUUUGGAACAGGGCAUCAUAGAGGGUGAGAAUCCCGUCUUUGGCUUGAGCAUUGCCUUUUGCGAUACACUUUCAAAGAGUCAGGUUGUUUGGGAAUGCAGCCUAAAUUGGGUGGUAAAUCUCACCUAAAGCUAAAUAUUGGCGAGAGACCGAUAGCGAACAAGUACCGUGAGGGAAAGAUGAAAAGAACUUUGAAAAGAGAGUUAAACAGUAUGUGAAAUUGUUGAAAGGGAACCGUUUGGAGCCAGACCGGCUGUUCUAUAAUCAAUCUCUGCUUCGGUAGGGAUGCACUUGUAGGACUUUAGCCUGCCAACAGCAAUUUUCUUUGGUGGAAAAAACUAGGAGGAAUGUGGCCCUUCGGGGUGUUAUAGCCUCUUAGAAAAUACACUGAAGGGGAUUGAGGACUGCAGCAAAUGCUUUUGGCGAAAUAACUGGGUGCUUGUGUUAAGGAAGUAUAGAAUUUCUGCUUCGGGUGGUGCUAUGCUCUAAGAUGCAACUCGCUUAGACUAUUUUCUAUUUGCUUAGGUUGUUGGCUUAAUGACUCUAAAUGAC